UUUUUACAGGCUUUCAUGUGAUUUCAUAAGUCAAAAUACAUCCAUCAAUGCUGUCCAUUGACUGACUGAAAGCUGCGGUCCAUCAUGCUGAGUAAAUUCACACACAGAGUAAAUAAAAAGUCUUACCUGUUCGUUU
Long non-coding RNA from Thalassophryne amazonica, 136 nucleotides. RefSeq lists it as uncharacterized. The transcript has 3 exons. NCBI's taxonomy places the organism in Eukaryota, Metazoa, Chordata, Actinopteri, Batrachoidiformes, Batrachoididae. The record is from RefSeq and is a predicted model, not a curated record.